Lathyrus oleraceus (garden pea) is the source of this 953-nucleotide long non-coding RNA. RefSeq lists it as uncharacterized. The transcript has 3 exons. The record is from RefSeq and is a predicted model, not a curated record. NCBI's taxonomy places the organism in Eukaryota, Viridiplantae, Streptophyta, Magnoliopsida, Fabales, Fabaceae.
UGACUUCAGCAUCCCAAAACUUCUCACGAUUCACACGAAAAGCGGAGAAGAACGAACGCUCGUGACGAAAAAUAAGAAGAGAAGGAAAGAACGCGUUCAUGUCGAAAAUGGCUUACCCUCACCGUCGGCACCUGAAUCACCUUCGCGAUCCACUUGAAUCUUCGUGCAAGGUUCAUGUUUUGCUGCCCGUUGUGGAUUUGUUCUUCUGCUUCGUCGUGCGUGUGCGCUGUGUUGGGCAAAUGCUGAAGAUGAUUUCGUGUUUUCACGUUGUCGAUUGAAGCUGAAGACGAAGAUCCGUUCAGAUUAGUGCGUUGAGAUGAACUGGUAUGUUGUUGUUGUCCGAUUCGGAAUUACGUUACGUCCGCGUCGUCGUUGUUGAUUCUUCGGUUGGCCGUUGAUGAUGAAUUAUGAAACUCUAUCUUCCACGAUGCGGUUAUAUUGGGCUACUAUUUCUAUACUGAGUUUUCUCAUGGCCGAUGUAAUGCAAGUGUUUGGUCAGUUGGACGUUGUCGGAAAGAAGUUUCUUAUUCUAUUGUGAGGUGAUGGUUUAAUGUCGGAGUAAAGACUUUGUGUUGGACGUUCAUGGUAUCGGUUGCAUUAAAGUGCAUCAUUGGAAUGGGAAUGUCAUGGAGCUGACUUGGAUUCAAUGGACUGUAUUUUUUUCUCGGGACAUGUUGUAAACUUGACAGGUUAUAACUUGGAAUUGAUUGUAAUUGGAACCAUGUACAAUUUGGAAUGGAUUUGUAUGGUGAAGGUUGUAUUUAAUUUGGGAUUCCAAUUGUAUGGAAUUAAUUGUGUAUGAAAUGAUGUAAUUGAAUGGAAUAACAUGUAAUCGGAUAAAUUUGUACCGUAACGUGAAUUUGGUUGAAGUAUUUGUAAAUAUUGUAACUUGUAAUCAAUGGUUGAAUGUAAUUGAAAUCUGAUGAUUUGAAAUUGAUUUGAAUGGAAUUGAA